Long non-coding RNA from Tachyglossus aculeatus (Australian echidna), 573 nucleotides. RefSeq lists it as uncharacterized. NCBI's taxonomy places the organism in Eukaryota, Metazoa, Chordata, Mammalia, Monotremata, Tachyglossidae. The record is from RefSeq and is a predicted model, not a curated record. The transcript is spliced from 4 exons.
AACUGUGGUUAAAGCGACAUCUUUGCAGGACUCUCGGUGUCUUUUACACCUGUGCCCCCGGUCUUGGCGGCCUGGAUCUGCACUUCACUUCUGAGUGGCACGAAAAAAAAAAGCAAUCCCCAAACAAACAAGACCCUUAAACCUCCCCGUGCGUUCGUUUAGGCAGCGAACAUCCUUGAACGCGUCCUUUUCUUCUUCUGGGGAUUGUGUUUGUCCUCUAUGGCAGACACAGCAAAACUAGGUCCUGCACCGAGGAAGAAAGCAGAACAAAGACUGCCACCUUGCGCUCAAGGAAGUUAACACGGUUGCCUUUUCAAUUCCGUUUUGGAGGACACUUCCUAUGAGUCACCGAAUUUUUGACCAAGACACAACCUACAGCUGCGUUUUUCAGAUCUUUCCCCAGUGUGAAUUGGGGACAGGUCUUCAAAAGAAGAACAAUAAACCAGGCGGCUGCAGAGCCAGUGACUCAGUUCUGAUUCCUCCCUCCCAAAGAGACAGAAGCCCAUGUGGACUGGGACCCCGAAAUAUCGUCUAAUUUUAAUUUGUGGACUCUCUUCGUGGGGUUCUAGGAUA